This 69-nucleotide transfer RNA is filed under the name Rattus norvegicus (Norway rat). It matches the Rfam family "tRNA". Rfam says of the family: Transfer RNA (tRNA) molecules are approximately 80 nucleotides in length. Their secondary structure includes four short double-helical elements and three loops (D, anti-codon, and T loops). The record is from Rfam by way of RNAcentral. Lineage: Eukaryota; Metazoa; Chordata; Mammalia; Rodentia; Muridae.
GGGGAUUUAGCUCAGCGGUAGAGCGCUUGCCUAGGAAGCGCAAGGCCCUGGGUUCGAUCCCCAGCUCCA